CCGAACUGCCCGCUCGGAUACUACAUGCUACUGCUACGUGCUACUGCUAGAUCCUACUCCUACAUACUAAACACGUUGGCCCAAUUCGGACACACUAGACGAGCGGUGGGGAAAGACGACCCCCGCAGGCAGAGAGUAGGUACUGCGCCCGUGCAGACAGUGGUAACUGAAGCCCCUCAUCUGCGGGCCUGGCUGUAGUACUGCAGCUGUGCAGUUUAAUGAUGGAAUAAGUGAGCUUUACCUCCAUGAUGUCGCCACAUAUUUGCUCAUAAAAUGAUUACUUGGGCAAAUAUGACACCAUGACAUGACAAAGAGAUACAACCGCACAUUUUUUAGGACAGUGUGUGAAGUUACAUGAAACUUACAUCUGUACUGCUGCGGUCCCGCGACAUGGUGCGCGCUGUUGUGGCCAGCCGGCGUUCGCGAUACAUUUAAAUAGGCAGAGCAGCUGGUGGCGCUAGCAUCACAUGCGCUUCUACAACUUUUAAGAGGACGAAGAAGAAGCCCGUGGUGCAUUUUGGGUCAGUAGCAUGCCCGUAGGAUGCACCGAGACCAACCUACAAUGUGGGCGUGUCUAGUAUCUGAAGUAGUAUCUGAAGUAGCAUGCUACUCGCUCCGGUGGCCAAUUCGGACAUGCUAGAUACUACUUCGACUUCUACUUCGACUACUACUUGGCAAUUCGGACGCAGCUUAUUGCUGCGUCCGAACUGCCCGCUCGGAUACUACAUGCUACUGCUACGUGCUACUGCUAGAUCCUACUCCUACAUACUAAAAACGUUGGCCCAAUUCGGACACACUAGACGAGCGGUGGGGAAAGACGACCCCCGCAGGCAGAGAGUAGGUACUGCGCUCGUGCAGACAGUGGUAACUGAAGCCCCUCAUCUGCGGGCCUGGCUGUAGUACUGCAGCUGUGCAGUUUAAUGAUGGAAUAAGUGAGCUUUACCUCCAUGAUGUCGCCACUUGCUCAUAAAAUGAUUACUUGGGCAAAUAUGACACCAUGACAUGACAAAGAGAUACAACCGCACAUUUUUUAGGACAGUGUGUGAA
Molecule: non-coding RNA, 1047 nt
Organism: Xyrichtys novacula (pearly razorfish)
Lineage: Eukaryota; Metazoa; Chordata; Actinopteri; Labriformes; Labridae
Source: the annotation of a GenBank genome assembly